Molecule: long non-coding RNA, 846 nt
Organism: Pan troglodytes (chimpanzee)
Lineage: Eukaryota; Metazoa; Chordata; Mammalia; Primates; Hominidae
Exons: 7
Source: RefSeq, a predicted model, not a curated record
UGGGAUUCAAAGGGUGGGCCGGAAGUGCUCUAGCCAGGGGACUCUGGCCUUACGGAGGAUCCCUGUUUCCUCCUUUUUUUUUUUUUUAAACCCUUUUCACCUAAUAAAACCCUGCUUUUCUCACCCUUUAAACUGUCUGUGAGCCUAAAUUUUCAUGGCCGUGGGACAGAAAAGAACCCCAUCUUUGCUAAACCAAGGAAAAAUCCUGCAACAUUUUUGGCACGCAGCGUGGGGCCUGGAGAGGAGGUUAACAUCAGAUUUGUCUUUUGAAAGAGCAUCUCUCAACCUAGUGUGUCUGGAAUUGGUGGGUUCUUGGUCUUGCUGACUUCAAGAAUGAAGCCGCGGACUCUCGCAAUCUGAGAUUUGAGAUCUCAUACCACAAAUGCCUUAAUGUGGCUGGCAUUCAUGAGAAGGUAUGCAACUAUUGAUGAAAUAUGAAGAACUCAGAAUGUCAAGAGAGAAGAGGCGUGGAACAGUUCUGGGAACACAGCACUGAUAAAACUCUUAUGGAUGAAUUUACCUAUACCUGUGUUUCAGCCUUGUGAUCUGAUUCCACAGGAUGCGAGCAUAUGCAGUGGAAACAUUGUGUUAUUCCAUCCUCAGAAGAAAAGAGACAGUAUUAUACUUCAUCUCUUGCUAAUACAGAACUACCACAGAAACAUACCAGGAAAGCUGAGAGAAUCCACAGAUCCUUUGAAGGAAGUGGCUUGCUGUUGCAGGCUCCUUGAGACAGCCAAAAACUGAUGAAGAACUAAAAACAGCAUAGCCUGAGGCAAGAAGUGAGCAUCCUCACACUCCAUCCUCAUUAGUGAGGAUAAAUGUGUCAUCACUGGGCAGCCCAGUAAG